GACGAACGCUGGCGGCGUGCCUAAUACAUGCAAGUUGAGCGCUGAAGGUUGGUACUUGUACCAACUGGAUGAGCAGCGAACGGGUGAGUAACGCGUGGGGAAUCUGCCUUUGAGCGGGGGACAACAUUUGGAAACGAAUGCUAAUACCGCAUAAAAACUUUAAACACAAGUUUUAAGUUUGAAAGAUGCAAUUGCAUCACUCAAAGAUGAUCCCGCGUUGUAUUAGCUAGUUGGUGAGGUAAAGGCUCACCAAGGCGAUGAUACAUAGCCGACCUGAGAGGGUGAUCGGCCACAUUGGGACUGAGACACGGCCCAAACUACUACGGGAGGCAGCAGUAGGGAAUCUUCGGCAAGGGACGAAAGUCUGACCGAGCAACGCCGCGUGAGUGAAGAAGGUUUUCGGAUCGUAAAACUCUGUUGGUAGAGAAGAACGUUGGUGAGAGUGGAAAGCUCAUCAAGUGACGGUAACUACCCAGAAAGGGACGGCUAACUACGUG
Molecule: ribosomal RNA, 497 nt
Filed under: uncultured bacterium
Lineage: Bacteria
Description: partial 16S ribosomal RNA
Rfam family: Bacterial small subunit ribosomal RNA
Source: RNAcentral